CAGUCGCCACGGUAAUACAGAGGGUGCGAGCGUUAAUCGGAUUUACUGGGCGUAAAGCGUGCGUAGGCUGCUUCUUAAGUCGGAUGUGAAAUCCCUGAGCUUAACUUAGGAAUUGCAUUCGAUACUGGGAAGCUAGAGUAUGGGAGAGGAUGGUAGAAUUCCAGGUGUAGCGGUGAAAUGCGUAGAGAUCUGGAGGAAUACCGAUGGCGAAGGCAGCCAUCUGGCCUAAUACUGACGCUGAGGUACGAAAGCAUGGGGAGCAAACAGGAUUAGAUACCCCAGUAGUCCCUGUCUCUUAUAC
RNAcentral lists this ribosomal RNA (301 nucleotides) under uncultured bacterium. RNAcentral describes it as "partial 16S ribosomal RNA". It matches the Rfam family "Bacterial small subunit ribosomal RNA", at positions 509 to 807 of the family's 1533-position model. The record is from RNAcentral.